Molecule: transfer RNA, 62 nt
Filed under: Metacrangonyx sp. 1 MDMBR-2012
Lineage: Eukaryota; Metazoa; Arthropoda; Malacostraca; Amphipoda; Metacrangonyctidae
Description: transfer RNA Isoleucine
Source: RNAcentral
AUAAUAUAAUCUAAUAAAGAUGCUUCAUUGAUAGAGAAGAUAUAGAAUCAUUCUUAUUAUUA